This 466-nucleotide ribosomal RNA is filed under the name uncultured bacterium. RNAcentral's name for it is "partial 16S ribosomal RNA". It matches the Rfam family "Bacterial small subunit ribosomal RNA", at positions 28 to 507 of the family's 1533-position model. The record is from RNAcentral.
GAUGAACGCUGGCGGCGUGCUUAACACAUGCAAGUCGAACGAUGAAGCCCAGCUUGCUGGGUGGAUUCGUGGCGAACGGGUGAGUAACACGUGAGUAACCUGCCCUUAACUCUGGGAUAAGCCUGGGAAACUGGGUCUAAUACCGGCUAGGAGCGUCCACCGCAUGGUGGGUGUUGGAAAGAUUUAUCGGUUUUGGAUGGACUCGCGGCCUAUCAGCUUGUUGGUGGGGUGAUGGCUCACCAAGGCGACGGCGGGUAGCCGGCCUGUGAGGGUGACCGGCCACACUGGGACUGAGGCAAGGCACAGACUGCUACGGGAGGCAGCAGUGGGGAAGAUUGCACAAUGGGCGCAAGCCUGGUGCAGCGACGCCGCGUGAGGGAUGACGGCCUUCGGGGUGUAAACCACUUUCAGUAGGGAAGAAGCGAAAGUGACGGUACCUGCAGAAGAAGCACCGGCUAACUACGUG